This 22-nucleotide small nuclear RNA is filed under the name Arabidopsis thaliana (thale cress). RNAcentral's name for it is "snRNA_05830". Lineage: Eukaryota; Viridiplantae; Streptophyta; Magnoliopsida; Brassicales; Brassicaceae. The record is from RNAcentral.
AGUUAUGAGUAUGCAACAGAUU